ACUUAUAUAGUUUAACUUAAAACAUUUCAUUUUCAAUGAAAAAAUAAAUUAUUUUUAUAAGAU
This 63-nucleotide transfer RNA is filed under the name Pirkimerus japonicus. Its description in RNAcentral is "tRNA-Glu". Lineage: Eukaryota; Metazoa; Arthropoda; Insecta; Hemiptera; Blissidae. The record is from RNAcentral.